GUGCACCAGUCGCGAAUAGUCUACAAUGGACGAAAGUCUGAUAGUGCGACGCCGUGUGUGCGAUUAAUUCCUUCGGGAUGUAAAGCACUUUUCUAUGAGAUAAAAGCUCUUUAGGUUAAUAGCUUAUUGAGACGGAUAUUAUUAUAGGAAUAAGCUCCGGCUAACUCCGUGCCAGCAGCCGCGGUAAUACGGAAGGAGCGAGCGUUGUCCGGAUUUACUAGGCGUAAAGGGCUAGUAGGCGACUAAUUAAGUUAUAUGUUAAAUCCCACGGCUCAACUGUGGUCCUGCAUGUAAUACUGGUUAGAUAGAGUACUGUAGAGGAAGGCAGAAUUCCUGGAGUAGCGGUGGAAUGCGCAGAUAUCAGGAAGAAUACCAAAAGCGAAGGCAGCCUUCUGGGCAGUUACUGACGCUGAAUAGCGAAGGUGUGGGUAGCGAACAGGAUUAGACUACCCUGUA
This 456-nucleotide ribosomal RNA is filed under the name uncultured microorganism. Its description in RNAcentral is "bacterial SSU rRNA". It matches the Rfam family "Bacterial small subunit ribosomal RNA", at positions 346 to 791 of the family's 1533-position model. The record is from RNAcentral.